UUUUUUUAUUUUUUUGAGUUUGCAUAUCGUAUAUUAACAAGAUGAAUUAUUAAAAGGUCACUUUAAUUGUAGAAAGUUUUGAUUGUAAGAUGUAUUAUAUUAUAUUCUAAUCUAUUAUCCAGUCAUUUGCACUUAUAAUUGUACAAUGAUUAAACUAUAUAUAUAUAUAUAUAAUGGAGUUUAAUUAUAUCCAAGACUUAAAGACAAAUAUGGUAUAUAUCGGAAAAUUCAACUAUCACAA
RNAcentral lists this long non-coding RNA (241 nucleotides) under Vigna radiata. RNAcentral's name for it is "long non-coding RNA (VRAD_LNC008607)". The record is from RNAcentral. Lineage: Eukaryota; Viridiplantae; Streptophyta; Magnoliopsida; Fabales; Fabaceae.